This is a long non-coding RNA of Drosophila nasuta, 543 nucleotides long. RefSeq lists it as uncharacterized. The record is from RefSeq and is a predicted model, not a curated record. NCBI's taxonomy places the organism in Eukaryota, Metazoa, Arthropoda, Insecta, Diptera, Drosophilidae. The transcript is spliced from 2 exons.
UAUGGAAUUGAGUAGCUACAAAUCUGUUUUGAUUUUUUUUUUUUAAGAUCUAGUGUGUCAUCUUUCAAAUGUCAAAUUUGUAUUGAUAAUUUGAGCAUUUCACUUUAAGUAUUUCAUUGAUAUUUUCUGUUUUGUUGAAUUUGUAAAUUGGAAACAAAAAGAUGUCGCUGCGUACUAAAAGAAUCUGUGUUUCUAUUCUUGUCUUCAUGUACAUGAUAUACAUGGCUAUCAUGAUAGCAUUCAAAUUAUAUUACAUGCAUUCUUGCAGUCAAUGCCAGAACAAUUGCGAUCUCUUCAAAACUUGCGUCGAGCAUCCAAUUCGCUGUCUGACGACCUAUCAAUUCUGCAAGCCUCUUUGUGGUAUUCAAUACUAAAGAAAUGGAGGAUUGCAUCUUUAAUGUAUUUCUUUAUGAACGAAUGAAGGCUGCAUCUUCAAUAUAUUCCUUUAGCUUCUAAAGUUGAGAAUAAACUCAUAAGACAAUUAACAUCGAAUAAUAUGUAAAUGCAACUCAAUAAACAUAAUUCUUAUCAUCUUGCAAGAAA